UGGGGAAUAUUGGACAAUGGGGGCAACCCUGAUCCAGCCAUGCCGCGUGCGUGAAGAAGGCCUUAGGGUUGUAAAGCGCUUUCGGCGGGGAAGAUGAUGACGGUACCCGCAGAAGAAGCCCCGGCUAACUCCGUGCCAGCAGCCGCGGUAAUACGGAGGGGGCAAGCGUUGUUCGGAAUUACUGGGCGUAAAGAGCGCGUAGGCGGCUGUAUCAGUCAGGCGUGAAAGCCCCGGGCUCAACCUGGGAGGUGCGCUUGAUACUGUGCAGCUGGAGUCCGGGAGGGGAUGGCGGAAUUCCCAGUGUAGAGGUGAAAUUCGUAGAUAUUGGGAAGAACACCGGUGGCGAAGGCGGCCAUCUGGACCGGCACUGACGCUGAGGCGCGAAAGCGUGGGGAGCAAACAGGAUUAGAUACCCCCGUAGUCC
RNAcentral lists this ribosomal RNA (424 nucleotides) under uncultured prokaryote. RNAcentral describes it as "bacterial SSU rRNA". It matches the Rfam family "Bacterial small subunit ribosomal RNA", at positions 355 to 796 of the family's 1533-position model. The record is from RNAcentral.